CCGUCUGAUAUGAAGGUGAAACAGGCUGUCUCCAUACCUCAUCCGGUAUGAGCGCCAAAAAUACCAAUCCUCGAUACCCCGUCCAGUAUGAGGCGACGUUUACGGUAGAGUUCCCUAUGUACCUUGUUUGUCCACCAUCUCCCAGAAUAUCCAGUAAGGCUACCAUUCAUUCAUUCACUUAACCAAUCAAUUUUCUGUUUACAUUUAAUUUUUAGUUUCACAAUUUAACCGUAAAUCAACUCAAGACAAAAA
RNAcentral lists this long non-coding RNA (252 nucleotides) under Carica papaya (papaya). Its description in RNAcentral is "long non-coding RNA (CPAP_LNC007762)". The record is from RNAcentral. Lineage: Eukaryota; Viridiplantae; Streptophyta; Magnoliopsida; Brassicales; Caricaceae.